GUUCUCAUGAAGAGGAACAGUGACUUGACAUGCAGGAAGCUUUACAGAAAGGAAAAGAAAUCUGUGUUACUGACAGAAAAUCCCUGUAAUCGCCUACAUAAAUGAACCGAUAUCAGGAGUCAGAGAAGGUCAUCUGAAGACUAAAGAAAAGAAAAAAAAGAAUAUCAUCAUGUUCAGAAGAAAACGCAAAG
Molecule: long non-coding RNA, 191 nt
Organism: Labeo rohita (rohu)
Lineage: Eukaryota; Metazoa; Chordata; Actinopteri; Cypriniformes; Cyprinidae
Exons: 2
Source: RefSeq, a predicted model, not a curated record